Molecule: long non-coding RNA, 528 nt
Filed under: Pan troglodytes (chimpanzee)
Lineage: Eukaryota; Metazoa; Chordata; Mammalia; Primates; Hominidae
Description: lincRNA
Source: RNAcentral
UUUCUGCUCCUGUCGCCAUGGCCCCGGCCUCGGCGCUCAAGCGACCCUCUCGCUCCGCCCAGGCUUCGUGGAGAGCAGCUGCCCCGCCGGCAUCUUCCGGAUGAGGCUCUCUAGACAACAAAGCCUUCUACGCGGAAGUUACUGACCCCUGGAUGCCCAGCUGCCGCACCUCCCGUGGCCCCACGCUGUGGCUACGUGUUGUCUGAAGACGCCUGGGGAAACCUUCAGGGCCUCUGUACUGGCCUGUCAUGUGGUCAACCAGUGUGAACAUCGAGGUGUCUGGGUUCAUGGAAGGUGGUGAAGAAACCACCUACAACUAUACCAUGUCCUGUCCCUAUUUCACAUGGGCCUCGAGGGAGAUUCUCUGAAGGGAACUACAUGGAGAUCUCAAACUUGAUUGCACGGUCAACCCCGCUCCUGUCUGUCAGGCUCAGGAACCACUUACAAGCUAUGGCAGGUGAUGUUCCAGCAUCCCACAGGGAGGAAGAUUAUGCUGAUGAGCCACAUGGCCAAGCAGGACUAUGGCUU